AAGCCACUCCUCCGGCGGACAUCUCUCGUCUAUGCCCGGUAGCAAAGAAGAGUUGAGAAAAUGGCGAUAAAAAUGGAUAAGACGACGAUCAUCGUGUGCGCAGUGGUCGGGUCUCUAGGAGUGUUGAGUGCCAUCUUGGGGUUCUCGGCUGAGGGGACAAAGCUCACUCCAUAUACGAUAUUUGUUUAUGGCGACGACUGCAUCUACCCGCAGAACCCGGCGAUCGGGCUGGGUAUCUGCGCCGUCAUCUUCCUUCUGGCGGCGCAGGUCACCAUCUCGGCGGUUGGCGGCUGCUGCGGCUGCUGCAAGUCCCGCUCCAUACCUUCGGGGACCAAGCGGAUCGUCGGCAUCGUUUGUGCCGUCGUCUCAUGGAUAGCGGCGGUGAUCGCGUGGGCGCUGCUGAUACAAGGAGCGUCGUGGAACGCCAACGUGGUGCGGGUGGCCGCCGCACCGUACUGCCCCUACCUCAAGGACGGUAUCUUCGCCGGCGCGGGCGUGCUCUCCCUCGCCGCCACGGCGCUCGGCAUCACCUCCUUCAUCAUGCUGCGGAGGCCGCAGCCGGUCGAGGCGGCGGCGACACCGGCAGCGUCUGUAGGCGGCACACCGAGCAGGCCAGGCCAGCAGUCGCCGUUGAACGAGGUUGUAAUGGGCCGCCCGCUGUUACCUCCACCGAGCAAGGUACAACACCCUUCCAAACCUGAGCGUACGUGCAACAGGUCCCUCCUACUGCUUCUCAUCCACAAGGGAACGGAGUCAACGGACAGCAAGCACCACAGGACCUACAGGCUCCUCCUCUUCCUCCUCCUGCUGCUCAAGGCAAUGGACCCCAGGCAGCGAACCAGCAGUUCCUUCCUCAAGGGCUCCCCGCGGCCGCGGUACUGGCGGCAGCGGCAUCAUGUCCACCCCAAGAACCAGGCGAGCAGCCGCCGCGGCCGCUCGGGGUUGCGAUGGGCGGCCAAACGCAGGUCCAGCUGCCUCAAGUACCGGUGCCGAAUGACUCACUACAGUACGCUAUGCCUGUUCCAGUGCCUCAGCUAUGCGCGGAGAUUCCGGUCACUCCUCUCGCAGCUCCUGGCCCUUCACAAGACAACGGACUAUCGACAGCUAUUCGCAACGAAUUAGCUAGAGCAACAAUCAGAUUCGCUGGGAAGGCGGUGGAGCAUGCGGUCUUUUCUAACAAUGCUGGGGAUAUCCUAUCCAUGGUGACUGAUCCUACCGGGGUUGACGUUGGAGCUACAGACAAUGGGGUUUCUGCUGCCUAAUCUAAUCUUAUGCACACUUCUUCAUGAUUUUGCCCCAGUUUGUUGUUUGUUCUUCAGCGGCUUUAAGAUUGAAGCGUGUAUCCAGCUUCCACUACUCGUUCGAAUCAUCAUGAUCUUGAACGAUACUUUCUAUUGGCCGUAAUUAGCCAAACGUUCAGCAGAA
RNA transcript from Setaria italica (foxtail millet), 1425 nucleotides. RefSeq lists it as uncharacterized. The transcript has 3 exons. The record is from RefSeq and is a predicted model, not a curated record. NCBI's taxonomy places the organism in Eukaryota, Viridiplantae, Streptophyta, Magnoliopsida, Poales, Poaceae.